This 477-nucleotide ribosomal RNA is filed under the name uncultured bacterium. RNAcentral describes it as "SSU rRNA". It matches the Rfam family "Bacterial small subunit ribosomal RNA", at positions 26 to 518 of the family's 1533-position model. The record is from RNAcentral.
AGGACGAACGCUGGCGGCGUGCCUAACACAUGCAAGUCGAACGAGGUCCAAGAGAGCUUGCUCUCUGAAGACCUAGUGGCGAACGGGUGAGUAACACGUGAGCAACCUGCCCUGGAAUCGGGGAUAACUCGAGGAAACUCGAGCUAAUACCGGAUACCUUCCCCUGGCCGCAUGACCGGGGGAAGAAAGAAUUUCGUUCCAGGAGGGGCUCGCGGCCUAUCAGUUAGUUGGCGGGGUAACGGCCCACCAAGACUACGACGGGUAGCUGGUUUGAGAGAACGAUCAGCCACACUGGGACUGAGACACGGCCCAGACUCCUACGGGAGGCAGCAGUGGGGAAUCUUGCGCAAUGGGCGAAAGCCUGACGCAGCAACGCCGCGUGCGGGAUGACGGCCUUCGGGUUGUAAACCGCUUUCAGCAGGGACGAAAUGACGGUACCUGCAGAAGAAGCCCGGCUAACUACGUGCCAGCAGCCGC